Transfer RNA from Felis catus (domestic cat), 85 nucleotides. It matches the Rfam family "tRNA". Rfam says of the family: Transfer RNA (tRNA) molecules are approximately 80 nucleotides in length. The record is from Rfam. NCBI's taxonomy places the organism in Eukaryota, Metazoa, Chordata, Mammalia, Carnivora, Felidae.
GCCUGGGUGGCUCAGUCGGUUGAGUGUCUGGCUUCAGCUCAGGUCAUGAUCUCACAGUUCGUGGGUUCGAGCCCCACAUCGAGCU